Molecule: non-coding RNA, 29 nt
Filed under: Rattus norvegicus (Norway rat)
Lineage: Eukaryota; Metazoa; Chordata; Mammalia; Rodentia; Muridae
Source: RNAcentral
UAGAACGACCUCUUUCCACAGAAGAUACU